RNAcentral lists this ribosomal RNA (467 nucleotides) under uncultured bacterium. RNAcentral's name for it is "partial 16S ribosomal RNA". It matches the Rfam family "Bacterial small subunit ribosomal RNA", at positions 28 to 506 of the family's 1533-position model. The record is from RNAcentral.
GACGAACGCUGGCGGCGUGCUUAACACAUGCAAGUCGAACGGAAAGGCCCUGCUUUUGUGGGGUGCUCGAGUGGCGAACGGGUGAGUAACACGUGAGUAACCUGCCCUUGACUUUGGGAUAACUUCAGGAAACUGGGGCUAAUACCGGAUAGGAGCUCCUGCUGCAUGGUGGGGGUUGGAAAGUUUCGGCGGUUGGGGAUGGACUCGCGGCUUAUCAGCUUGUUGGUGGGGUAGUGGCUUACCAAGGCUUUGACGGGUAGCCGGCCUGGGAGGGUGACCGGCAACAGUGGGACUGCGAGACGGCCCAGACUCCUACGGGGGGCAGCGGUGGGAAAUAUUGCACAAUGGGCGCAAGCGUGAUGCGGAAGCGCCGGGGGCGGGAUGACGGCCUUCGGGUUGAAAACCGCUUUCGCUUGUGACGAAGCGUGAGUGACGGUACUGGGUAAAGAAGCACCGGCUAACUACGU